CUUUCUUCAAGAGCUCUGGCUUGCUCAAAGGCAUGGAAUGACUUCACAGCAACCAGGUGCAGCAAAGAAGCUUUCUGUAGAAAUUGUCACCUACCCCUUGUCCUGGCCGCACCAGAUAUUGUCGCUCCGCRAGGCCCCGGAGCUGUGGGUGGCUCCUCGACACCUGCAGGUCGCUGCUGCUAGUGCUGCUGGAAGAGGACAAUUCCCGUUCAAGCCUGGCACUUUUGUGCCAUCCUCGUAGGAAUCAUCUCGGUGAACUAGAUCUGCAAUCAGUGUGCUCCAAUGGCAAGUGGAAGAGCAUGGCUGACUGACCCCGUUAGCACAGUGGAGCUAAUUAACACCUGAUGAUUUGAAUGGUAAAACCUUAUGUAUUCCAUGUCCAUUCUCUGCUCUUUGUGCGUUUACAUCUUUGAAG
Molecule: long non-coding RNA, 415 nt
Filed under: Apteryx rowi (Okarito brown kiwi)
Lineage: Eukaryota; Metazoa; Chordata; Aves; Apterygiformes; Apterygidae
Description: lncRNA (ENSARWG00000017268.1)
Source: RNAcentral